This 157-nucleotide ribosomal RNA is filed under the name Choanephora cucurbitarum. Its description in RNAcentral is "5.8S ribosomal RNA". It matches the Rfam family "5.8S ribosomal RNA". From Rfam's summary of the family: 5.8S ribosomal RNA (5.8S rRNA) is a component of the large subunit of the eukaryotic ribosome. It is transcribed by RNA polymerase I as part of the 45S precursor that also contains 18S and 28S rRNA. The record is from RNAcentral. Lineage: Eukaryota; Fungi; Mucoromycota; Mucoromycetes; Mucorales; Choanephoraceae.
CAACUUUUAACAAUGGAUCUCUUGGCUUUUGCAUCGAUGAAGAACGUAGCAAAUUGCGAUAACUAGUGUGAAUUGCAAAUUCAGUGAAUCAUCGAGUCUUUGAACGCAUCUUGCGCUCAUUGGUAUUCCAGUGAGCACGCCUGUUUCAGUAUCAAAA